RNAcentral lists this transfer RNA (67 nucleotides) under Malcus inconspicuus. RNAcentral's name for it is "tRNA-Met". The record is from RNAcentral. Lineage: Eukaryota; Metazoa; Arthropoda; Insecta; Hemiptera; Malcidae.
AAAAAGAUAAGCUAACUUAAAGCUAUUAGGUUCAUACCCUAAUAAUAGAAAUUCUUUCUUCUUUUUA